RNAcentral lists this ribosomal RNA (253 nucleotides) under uncultured bacterium. Its description in RNAcentral is "partial 16S ribosomal RNA". It matches the Rfam family "Bacterial small subunit ribosomal RNA", at positions 524 to 776 of the family's 1533-position model. The record is from RNAcentral.
UACGUAGGGAGCAAGCGUUGUCCGGAAUCAUUGGGCGUAAAGCGCGUGUAGGCUGCUUCGCAAGUCGGAUGUGAAAGCCCUGGGCUCAACCCAGGAAGUGCAUUCGAAACUGCAGAGCUGGAGUCCUGGAGAGGAAGGCGGAAUUCUCGGUGUAGAGGUGAAAUUCGUAGAUAUCGAGAGGAACACCGGUGGCGAAGGCGGCCUUCUGGACAGUGACUGACGCUGAGACGCGAAAGCGUGGGGAGCAAACAGG